CCUACGGGAGGCUGCAGUGGGGAAUAUUGGACAAUGGGGGGAACCCUGAUCCAGCCAUGCCGCGUGUGUGAAGAAGGCCCUCGGGUUGUAAAGCACUUUCAGUGAGGAAGAACGCCUGGUGGUUAAUACCCAUCAGGAAUGACAUCACUCACAGAAGAAGCACCGGCUAACUCCGUGCCAGCAGCCGCGGUAAUACGGAGGGUGCGAGCGUUAAUCGGAAUUACUGGGCGUAAAGCGCGCGUAGGUGGCUUGAUAAGCCGGUUGUGAAAGCCCCGGGCUCAACCUGGGAACGGCAUCCGGAACUGUCAAGCUAGAGUGCAGGAGAGGAAGGUAGAAUUCCCGGUGUAGCGGUGAAAUGCGUAGAGAUCGGGAGGAAUACCAGUGGCGAAGGCGGCCUUCUGGACUGACACUGACACUGAGGUGCAAAAGCGUGGGUAGCAAACAGGAUUAGAUACCCUAGUAGUC
Molecule: ribosomal RNA, 465 nt
Filed under: Vreelandella stevensii
Lineage: Bacteria; Pseudomonadati; Pseudomonadota; Gammaproteobacteria; Oceanospirillales; Halomonadaceae
Description: partial 16S ribosomal RNA
Rfam family: Bacterial small subunit ribosomal RNA
Source: RNAcentral